This 389-nucleotide ribosomal RNA is filed under the name uncultured eukaryote. RNAcentral's name for it is "partial 18S ribosomal RNA". It matches the Rfam family "Eukaryotic small subunit ribosomal RNA", at positions 592 to 976 of the family's 1831-position model. The record is from RNAcentral.
CGAUAGCGUAUAUUAAAGUUGUUGCAGUUAAAAAGCUCGUAGUUGGAUUUCUGGUGGGGGUCGCUGGUCCGCUGCGAAAGCGGCGUGUACCGAUGCGUACCUACCGCCAUCCUCGGGGGGACUGCGUGUGGGAUUAGUUUCUCGUGCGUAUGGACGCCCGUCUUUUACUGUGAAAAAAUUAGAGUGUUCAAAGCAGGCUGAGGCCGUUGAAUACAUUAGCAUGGAAUAAUAAGAUAGGACCUUGGCGGUCUAUUUUGUUGGUUUGCACGCCAAGGUAAUGAUUAAUAGGGAUAGUUGGGGGUAUUCGUAUUCAAUUGUCAGAGGUGAAAUUCUUAGAUUUAUGGAAGACGAACUACUGCGAAAGCAUUUACCAAGGAUGUUUUCAUUAA